CCUACGGGAGGCAGCAGUGGGGAAUAUUGCGCAAUGGGCGAAAGCCUGACGCAGCGAAGCCGCGUGAGGGAUGAAGGUCCUCGGAUCGGAAACCCCUGUCAGCAGGGAAGCACGGUCACUGUGCUAAUCAGCAGUGAAUUGACGGUACCUGCAAAGGAAGCACCGGCUAACUCCGGGCCAGCAGCCUCGGUAAUACGGAGGGUGCGGGCGUUAAUCGGAAUUACUGGGCGUAAAGCGCUCGUAGGCGGUAUGUCAAGUCAAGGGUGAAAUCCCCGCGCUCAACGUGGGAACUGCCUUUGAAACUGGCAAACUGGAGUGUGUGAGAGGAUAGUGGAAUUCGAGGUGUAGGAGUGAAAUCCUUAGAUAUCUGGAGGAACAUCAGUGGCGAAGGCGACUAUCUGGCACAUAACUGACGCUGAGGAGCGAAAGCGUGGGUAACAAACAGGAUUAGAUACCCCAGUAGUC
Molecule: ribosomal RNA, 465 nt
Filed under: uncultured bacterium
Lineage: Bacteria
Description: partial 16S ribosomal RNA
Rfam family: Bacterial small subunit ribosomal RNA
Source: RNAcentral